This 403-nucleotide ribosomal RNA is filed under the name uncultured bacterium. RNAcentral describes it as "partial 16S ribosomal RNA". It matches the Rfam family "Bacterial small subunit ribosomal RNA", at positions 30 to 526 of the family's 1533-position model. The record is from RNAcentral.
AUUGAACGCUGGCGGCAGGCCUAACACAUGCAAGUCGAGCGCGCGGACGGCGCGUGAGUAACGUAUGGGGAAUGCCCGAUAGCGGGGGACAACUACUGGAAACGGUAGCUAAUACCGCAUACUAUCGGAUAAUCCAUAUGGGAUUAGCUAGUAGGUGAGGUAACGGCUCACUUUGGCGCCGAUCCCUAGCUGGUCUGAGAGGCUGAUCAGCCACACUGGGACUGAGACACGGCCCAGACUCCUACGGAGGCAGCAGUGGGUAAUAUUGCACGAUGGGCUCAAGCCUGAUGCAGCCAUGCCGCGUGUAUGAAUAAGGCCCUAGGUUUGUAAAGUACUUUCAGUCGUGAGGCGUUACCGUCAGGAGAAGCACCGGCGAACUCCGUGCCAGCAGCCGCGGUAAUUC